This 301-nucleotide ribosomal RNA is filed under the name uncultured bacterium. RNAcentral's name for it is "partial 16S ribosomal RNA". It matches the Rfam family "Bacterial small subunit ribosomal RNA", at positions 509 to 807 of the family's 1533-position model. The record is from RNAcentral.
CAGCCGCCGCGGGAAUACGAAGGGUGCAAGCGUUAAUCGGAAUUACUGGGCGUAAAGCGUGCGUAGGCGGUUUGUUAAGUCUGCUGUGAAAUCCCCGGGCUCAACCUGGGAAUGGCGAUGGAUACUGGCUGGCUAGAGUGUGUCAGAGGAUGGUGGAAUUUCCGGUGUAGCGGUGAAAUGCGUAGAGAUCGGAAGGAACAUCAGUGGCGAAGGCGGCCAUCUGGGACAACACUGACGCUGAAGCACGAAAGCGUGGGGAGCAAACAGGAUUAGAUACCCCAGUAGUCCCUGUCUCUUAUAC